CGUAGGGUCCAAGCGUUAUCCGGAAUCACUGGGCGUAAAGCGUGCGUAGGUGGCGCAUUAAGUGAGAUGUUAAAUCGUGUGGCUCAACCAUAUCGAUGCAUCUCAUACUGGUGUGCUAGAGGACGGCAGAGGCAAGUGGAAUUACGAGUGUAGCAGUGAAAUGCGUAGAUAUUCGUAGGAACACCAAUGGCGAAGGCAGCUUGCUGGGCCACUCCUGACACUGAGGUACGAAAGCGUGGGGAGCGAACAGGAUUAGAUACCCUGGUAGUCCACGCCGUAAACGAUGCAUACUAGUCGUAUGGGGUAUCGACCCCCUGUGCGACGCAGCUAACGCGAUAAGUAUGCCGCCUGGGAAGUACGGCCGCAAGGCUA
RNAcentral lists this ribosomal RNA (372 nucleotides) under uncultured organism. Its description in RNAcentral is "bacterial SSU rRNA". It matches the Rfam family "Bacterial small subunit ribosomal RNA", at positions 526 to 896 of the family's 1533-position model. The record is from RNAcentral.